Molecule: non-coding RNA, 24 nt
Filed under: Arabidopsis thaliana (thale cress)
Lineage: Eukaryota; Viridiplantae; Streptophyta; Magnoliopsida; Brassicales; Brassicaceae
Source: RNAcentral
CGUCUCUGGCAGCUAUAGCGAUGA